RNAcentral lists this ribosomal RNA (805 nucleotides) under uncultured Gammaproteobacteria bacterium. Its description in RNAcentral is "bacterial SSU rRNA". It matches the Rfam family "Bacterial small subunit ribosomal RNA", at positions 57 to 859 of the family's 1533-position model. Lineage: Bacteria; Pseudomonadati; Pseudomonadota; Gammaproteobacteria. The record is from RNAcentral.
GCAAGUCGAACGGAAACAUGUCUAGCUUGCUAGAUGAUGUCGAGUGGCGGACGGGUGAGUAAUGCUUGGGAACUUGCCUUUGCGAGGGGGAUAACAGUUGGAAACGACUGCUAAUACCGCAUAAUGUCUUCGGACCAAACGGGGCUUCGGCUCCGGCGCAAAGAGAGGCCCAAGUGAGAUCAGCUAGUUGGUGAGGUAAAGGCUCACCAAGGCAACGAUCUCUAGCUGUUCUGAGAGGAAGAUCAGCCACACUGGGACUGAGACACGGCCCAGACUCCUACGGGAGGCAGCAGUGGGGAAUAUUGCACAAUGGGGGAAACCCUGAUGCAGCCAUGCCGCGUGUGUGAAGAAGGCCUUCGGGUUGUAAAGCACUUUCAGUUGUGAGGAAAAGUUAGUAGUUAAUACCUGCUAGCCGUGACGCUAACAACAGAAGAAGCACCGGCUAACUCCGUGCCAGCAGCCGCGGUAAUACGGAGGGUGCGAGCGUUAAUCGGAAUUACUGGGCGUAAAGCGCACGCAGGCGGUUUGUUAAGCUAGAUGUGAAAGCCCCGGGCUCAACCUGGGACGGUCAUUUAGAACUGGCAGACUAGAGUCUUGGAGAGGGGAGUGGAAUUCCAGGUGUAGCGGUGAAAUGCGUAGAUAUCUGGAGGAACAUCAGUGGCGAAGGCGACUCCCUGGCCAAAGACUGACGCUCAUGUGCGAAAGUGUGGGUAGCGAACAGGAUUAGAUACCCUGGUAGUCCACACCGUAAACGCUGUCUACUAGCUGUUUGUGGCUUUAAGCCGUGAGUAGCGAAGCUAACGCG